Molecule: ribosomal RNA, 253 nt
Filed under: uncultured bacterium
Lineage: Bacteria
Description: partial 16S ribosomal RNA
Rfam family: Bacterial small subunit ribosomal RNA
Source: RNAcentral
UACGGAAGGGGCGAGCGUUGCUCGGAAUCACUGGGCGUAAAGGGUGCGUAGGCGGCCGUGCAAGUCUGGCGUGAAAGCCCCGGGCUCAGCCCGGGAAGUGCGCUCGAAACUGCGCGGCUCGAGUGCCGGAGGGGAGAGUGGAAUUCCUGGUGUAGCGGUGAAAUACGUAGAUAUCAGGAGGAAUACCGGUGGCGAAAGCGACUCUCUGGACGGCAACUGACGCUGAGGCACGAAAGCGUGGGGAGCAAACAGG